Molecule: long non-coding RNA, 1176 nt
Filed under: Citrus maxima (pomelo)
Lineage: Eukaryota; Viridiplantae; Streptophyta; Magnoliopsida; Sapindales; Rutaceae
Description: long non-coding RNA (CMAX_LNC001975)
Source: RNAcentral
GACUAAAACAAAAAGGGUAAUUUAUCGUCAGCCCCCAAUUGUUUCGACAUUUAGCACCGUGCACUCACAUCUUUCGACCAUGUGCAUCACGCCCCCAUUUCCGUCUAUCUACCGUUAACUUAAUAGAAAAAAGGGUAAAAUGAUAAUUUUGUAAGAACGAACUCUUUUAUCCUUCGUUGCUUUUUAUUUUCUAUGUUUUGUUUUUCUUUUCUUUUUUUCUUCCCUUCCUCUUCUUCUUCCCGUCUUUAUUUUCUUCUUCUUCUUCUUCCUUUUUCUUCUUCUUCUUUUUUCUUCUCCUUCUCCUUUUUCUUCUUCUAGUCUUUUACUACUGCCGCCUGUUAGAGUGAUCAGCCACCGACUUGAAUCGACAACAACAAAAUGGUGCGCUGCAUGAUCUGUCACCGCUCGAAACCAUCGCCUCCGUUGUUGCAUGAAACCGCCGACGCCACCACUUGAAGCCGUCGCCGUCUCCGCCGCCUCUAUAAUUUGAUUUAAGGUUUGAAAUCUUUAGAUUUAGGAUUUUUGAUUCUUGGAUUCGUUUUUGUAAUAGACUUUUACAAUGAAAUUUACAGCAAGUGUUUUGUAUAAUUAGAUUAGGUUUCUUUAUUAUUGGAAUUUUUAUGUAAUCUGAUGAUGAUUGUGUGUUUGAUUUUCUUCUUUCCUUUUGGAAUCAUGCUCUGUUUCUCAUUUUGAAGUUUCCCGGUUUUACAAUUUUGUUAUGAUAAUGAAAUUUAAAAAAAAUCGUUUCAAUUUAAUUGUAAAAAAAUAUAAAAAUAAAUAUUGUUUUGAAAUUGACUUGUUGACAAUCUGCUCAUCCAUGUCUCUAAUGGAAAUGGUACCGUAACAAGGCUAAUUGAAAGCCCCAACUUUUUCUGUAUUUCCCCUUUGUUUAAUAUUGUAAUUAGUAAGAUCUGAAUCCAAGUAGUUUCCCAACCUUUUUGUGGUGUUUCUUUGACGGAUCAGCACUUGAAUCAUGAUGCCCGCUUUUAUCCUUCUUCUCAUCCUUGUCUUCGUCUUUAUCCUUACUUCGAUCCUUAUGGCGGUGCUUGUGCUUCUUAUGCUCUCUAUCCUUCUCCUUAUCUUUGUCUUUGUGCAUUUUUAUGCUUCCUCUCCUUGUCUUUGGACUCACAAGGGCAGGAACCCCCUUUUCUGCAGGAGGCAAAUCAACAAUAUUUA